CAAUAGAAAAGCUUGCUUUUCUUGAGGUUAGCGGCGGACGGGUGAGUAACACGUGGGCAACCUACCUGUAAGACUGGGAUAACUUACGGAAACGUGAGCUAAUACCGGAUAGUUUCACUUCUCGCAUGAGAAGUGAAGGAAAGAUGGCUUUUAGCUAUCACUUACAGAUGGGCCCGCGGCGCAUUAGCUAGUUGGUGGGGUAAAGGCCUACCAAGGCAACGAUGCGUAGCCGACCUGAGAGGGUGAUCGGCCACACUGGGACUGAGACACGGCCCAGACUCCUACGGGAGGCAGCAGUAGGGAAUCUUCCGCAAUGGACGAAAGUCUGACGGAGCAACGCCGCGUGAGCGAAGAAGGUCUUCGGAUCGUAAAGCUCUGUUGUUAGGGAAGAACAAGUACCGGAGUAACUGUCGGUACCUUGACGGUACCUAACCAGAAAGCCACGGCUAACUACGUGCCAGCAGCCGCGGUAAUACGUAGGUGGCAAGCGUUGUCCGGAAUCAUUGGGCGUAAAGCGCGCGCAGGCGGUCCUUUAAGUCUGAUGUGAAAUCUUGCGGCUCAACCGUAAGCGGUCAUUGGAAACUGGGGGACUUGAGUGCAGGAGAGGAAAGCGGAAUUCCAUGUGUAGCGGUGAAAUGCGUAGAGAUAUGGAGGAACACCAGUGGCGAAGGCGGCUUUCUGGCCUGUAACUGACGCUGAGGCGCGAAAGCGUGGGGAGCAAAC
RNAcentral lists this ribosomal RNA (723 nucleotides) under Pallidibacillus thermolactis subsp. kokeshiiformis. RNAcentral's name for it is "bacterial SSU rRNA". It matches the Rfam family "Bacterial small subunit ribosomal RNA", at positions 68 to 773 of the family's 1533-position model. RNAcentral also lists the same sequence under 1 other name. Lineage: Bacteria; Bacillati; Bacillota; Bacilli; Caryophanales; Bacillaceae. The record is from RNAcentral.